UACGUAGGUGGCGAGCGUUGUCCGGAUUUACUGGGCGUAAAGAGCGCGCAGGCGGUCGAUCAAGUCGGAUGUGAAAGCCCCCGGCUCAACUGGGGAGGGUCAUUCGAUACUGAUCGACUCGAAGGCAGGAGAAGGAAGCGGAAUUCCCGGUGUAGUGGUGAAAUGCGUAGAUAUCGGGAGGAACACCAGUGGCGAAGGCGGCUUCCUGGCCUGUUCUUGACGCUGAGGCGCGAAAGCUAGGGGAGCAAACAGG
Molecule: ribosomal RNA, 253 nt
Filed under: uncultured bacterium
Lineage: Bacteria
Description: partial 16S ribosomal RNA
Rfam family: Bacterial small subunit ribosomal RNA
Source: RNAcentral